CUCCCGUACGAAAUUAUAAGGCGUAUUACGCCUGGAAAUAAGGCGUAAACCAGGCGUAAGUGGUAGUUACGUGUCUAGAUCCAAGCGUAAGGGAGCAGGAAACGUAAAUUUGUAGUCCUUACAGGCGUAGAAAAAAGCAGGAAACCUGGCGUAAAUUAAAAUAAGCAAGGCGUAAAUUGAAAUAAGCAAGGCGUAAAUUUUCUUACGGGCGUAAAACUGUUGGUAUGGCGUAAAUAGAAAUACCCAUAAUGCUUUGUUUAAAGGAUCAUGGGAUUUUUUUUCAAAAUUUGGCUCUUUGGUUUUAGUUUGCAAGAGUUGGACACAUGGCAGCUUCAUAUAUUCAGGGAUAAUUUGCUUGUUUUGUGCUUUUUGGAAGAAUCUGAAAUUGGAAAUACUGAAUCAUAUAAAUUAAUGAAAAUUGUGAAAUAAA
This 430-nucleotide long non-coding RNA is filed under the name Mytilus galloprovincialis (Mediterranean mussel). The record is from RNAcentral. Lineage: Eukaryota; Metazoa; Mollusca; Bivalvia; Mytilida; Mytilidae.